GGGGCGCGGGAAUGCCGCGGACGGGCGGGAUAACGUGCAUCCCUUCCCAUAACCUCCUCCUGGGCCGGUCGGAGCUGCCUGCGCACUGACCCUCCCACACAUCUCUGCCAGCGAAACAUCACCUCGGAGCAGAUCCUGCCCGCCAGCCAACCGAGAGUACAGUUUACGAUGACAGUCAUGCACGGAUCAAUGUGUCAUCGCCAUUGGGAGGAAUACUUUGAUAAACUGACUUUGAUCAAAUACACGACCGAUAAGCGCUCUGGCAUCACGCUUUGCUAACCCUCUCCUGCAAUCGCUGCACAGGGUUUAAAGGUUCUUCAUAGACUAGUUACACAGUAACGCAAGCCACUAGCACCGUGUGGUGAAAUGAGACCGAAAUGACGGCGUACAGGGACGCAUAUCCAUAUUUUGGGAGGCCUGGCCGUGCGACAGCCGGUCACAGCCCUUGGCUACAGAAAGGUCGCUGUCUCCCAGCAGCCAUUCCAGCAGGAUCAGCACACCAGUAUGGAUCUCUCCCCACCGCUGGAGCAGCUCACACAGGGAUGAGGGAAGAGCACUGGAAGAGGAAGAGCUAAUGAACAAGUCCCUGUAAAAUCCCUAUUACUGUAAAAAGGAUUUGGGCAAAAUUCAUCCUUGUCCAUAGUCACCAGCAAAUGAAAAAAUGUUCCCUGAAUGGUCUGUCUUCUAAAUAAUGGUAUCAUAAGGACAUGCCAUUCUUGAAGGAUGUAAUUUGCAAGCAGUUAAGACAGCAGAAUCAGAACUAUUUGAUAAAAAUCCAUAUAGACAUGGAAAGCAGACCUUACUUUUUGUGUCUGUACUUAAGCACUUCUCAUGAAGCAAAACAACUACUGAUAUAAAAGAGGCACAACAGUGCAGCUGAGACCUAUCCCUCACAACCCACUUUCAGAGCUGCAGCACAGACCUCUGUUCUGUAACCUGUCCCGAGGCCUCAGGCCAGCUGCAUGUUUCCUGGACUACGUUGGCACAGACAAGAAACUCACAGUAAAACACCAGGAUUCGGCAAACACGCAUGCCAACGAAUAUGGAAAUGCAGGAAACAUCUAAGGGCAAACCAGACCAAUGAAAAGAUGGGUAUGUGUUGUUUGACAGACCAGGCAAUGUACCGAGGACAUUGGGGAGGAUGAAUUAGUUUUUGAGACCAUGAGGACAAAGGACCAUAAUAAGGAAGGGAAUGAAGGAGAAAGAACAGAUGGUCCCUUCUUUAUCCUGGAGUUAGAUGAGGGUAAAUGGAAAUCUCCUUGAACAAGCAACAGGAAGGCAGGCAGUCAAUCUCUUCAUGACACUAAUAAUGUUACAUAUACAGUUUGUCUCUGCUAGACAGUAAAAUCAAAUGUUCAAAUCUGCUUUCUUCAUGUCAGGAAUUAUCACCGUAUCAGGAUAUCCCUGAGCCUUGUCUGCGAGGGAGAGCUUGCAAUGGUGCAGUGCUACAUUUAUUACAGGCAAUGGAUUUUUUUAGGUAUCAUUUUUUCUGACAUUUCCUUCCAGGAAUUUCUUUGGGUUUGUUUGUUUGUUUUCUUUUGGGUUUUUUUUUUGUUUUUUUUUUUAAAAAACCCUUGCUUUCUCUACUGCUGUGCCCCAUUUGGUACCAGUCUGAUACUCUAAAGAAUGGGCACGAUGGUUGUCCUCUCUGUUUUGAUUUGCUUAGGCUCAGGUAGAAAACAGUUUCAUUCAGGUGCAGUAGGGACAUCAGAAAUACCAGCCAUCCUCAGAGCUGGAAGAACAGAGAUUAAAAUGGAGUCUGGUGUUCUGAGCCUGAAGCAAACAUCUUGGUUAUGAACGCUUAUAAAAUGCAAGAGCAUUUAAACCCAGCUCUUUUGAGUUCUGAUGAUCCUUCAGAAUUUUAUGGAUGAAUGCCUACAAUCGUCAGUGUUUAUAUAAGAUCUCUUGCUUGUGUCACUUUAUUUAUAUUUGAAUAUUUAGCAAAUUCAGGGAUGCUGGGAGCUAACAGCCAAAAAUGGUAUUUCCCACUACUGAGUUUACUAUUGCUUUGGAGGACUGAUUAUAGAUACAACUGCUAUUUUCUGGGGGCCUUCCCUUCCUUUUUAAGAUUUAGACUCCUUAAGUAUAAAUACAGUGAUGCUCUCUUUGUGAAUGAGAAUGCUGGACUACUGAGAAAUGCACCAAGAAAUAGACUUGGGCCUCUAAUUCUGUUAUUACAUGAACAUGCUGAAAACUACCAACAGGUAGCAAAAUAAGUAAUGCUGAGGUCCUGCUUAGACUGAACUUGCUUGCUAGCAGUUUUUCAACAGCAUGACACAGAGGAAAAGGCAGUUUUGUGGUCACAGAUUAUGGCAGUCUUGUAGAGAAUCCUGCAAGUUGCAACAGAGGAAAUGGCAAGUCUGGGUUUUUUUUGUUGCUGUUGUUGGUUUCUUUCUUCAAAGAAAAAAAGAGAAAAAAUACAGGAAAAACAUGUAAAGGCAGCAUAGCACACAGUAAAAACAUGAAGACUGAACACAGCACUGACCCAAAAGAUGCCAACCACCCAUCUGUGAACUGCAGACACCAUUUAACUGAUCAACCAAACUCAUGUGUCAGUUCUGACAUUGAGACCAGAAAAAAACAAAGCAACAUCACUUUGAUAAUGCUAAAACUUAGGGUUCAAAAAUUUGGGUAAGAGCCUGCAUACCCUUGGCUUUGUGCUACAGAAGGCAGCAUAGCAGUGUCCUGGUACUUCAGGUGUUGACACAGACUCAACAACAGAUCCAAGUCUGGCAGAUGAAGAAUUUUCACUUGCACCUGCCCAUUCCAUACCACUACUGCAGAGUGUCAGGAAUGGCUCCAGAGUUUCUGAAUUGCUUUCUUAGCUGCUGUUACUUACAGAACAUACUGACAAAACCAGUUCACUCAAAUUUGAUGCUAGAAUAGUUCAAGAUUAGAUUGUGGACUACCGAUGCCACAAGGACAACAAAAGAGAUGUAGCAUAUCUUGGAGUCCUGAAGUAAUACAAAUGAAUAACAGCAAGCAAAGUUAUGUAUAUAUAUACCCAGGAUUUAAGAGGUAAAAAACGCUUUCACAGGGGAAAAUGUUCUAUUGCUUUGAUGACCCCUAGCUCUAAAAGUAACAGCCAUGGAUGCUGUAACCAAAUACAGAAUCUUUUAAGAUACCCAAAAAGGUGUGUCUCUUCUAAAAAUAAAUGUGUCUUCACUGAUGUUUUAACUGCUUACAAGAACUGCUCUUCACAUCAUCACUGGCUUGCAAAAGCAAGGCUGAUUUUCAAGAAACCACAUAUUACACACGAUGCUGUGUUCAUGACUCAUGGUAUGACUUCAGAGAGUGGUCUGAGCAAAAUGGAAGUUCACCAGGGGCAAAAAGGGCAGGUGGCUCUCCAUUUACCACAGCUCCCUCAGGCCAUAGGCCCCUGAUGCUUACCUGGUAGCCAGCUCAGGCACUCUGCUAAUCACCAGGUAAAUUAAAGCUCAGAACAGCCGAAUAGGCAUUUGGCACACAGCUUGGCGUGUGGGUGCUCCUGCUUGGCUGGCAAGCUGAGCUGGUUGCCCUGUAGUCAGAAUUGGUAUAGCUGGGGGAGGGAAGAUCACAGGACAGCACGGGGAAGGAAAGAAGCCAAAGGGAGAGAGAGACCUCCCCGUUUAGCAAGCUGUUAGCCCAGGUCAGCUCUCAUCCCAAACUUCCCCAUCAGAGCCUUGCAAACAAAAUGCUAACAGAGAUUAUUUAAAUGACCGAGUAUUAAUAGACUUUCAUAAUAUAACUAACUAUUUAAAGUAACUGAAUAAAAAAAGUGUCAAAUGACAGAUUUACAGAAGCAGCUCACAGCUGAUUAUUGACACAGGAACUAAACCAGCAGAAAUCGAGACAUCUCUACUGCCUGGAGACAUCUCUACUGCCGAACACUGAAAAUACAGUAGAGCUCCUUUCACAACAGUUCUACAGACUAUCAAAACUGUGUUAAAAAUAUAAUUUUUUAAAAUUCUG
Manacus vitellinus (golden-collared manakin) is the source of this 3951-nucleotide long non-coding RNA. RefSeq lists it as uncharacterized. The transcript has 4 exons. The record is from RefSeq and is a predicted model, not a curated record. NCBI's taxonomy places the organism in Eukaryota, Metazoa, Chordata, Aves, Passeriformes, Pipridae.